Molecule: ribosomal RNA, 474 nt
Filed under: uncultured bacterium
Lineage: Bacteria
Description: partial 16S ribosomal RNA
Rfam family: Bacterial small subunit ribosomal RNA
Source: RNAcentral
AUUGAACGCUGGCGGCAUGCCUUACACAUGCAAGUCGAACGGUAACAGGUUAAGCUGACGAGUGGCGAACGGGUGAGUAAUGUAUCGGAACGUGCCCAGUCGUGGGGGAUAACUGCUCGAAAGAGCAGCUAAUACCGCAUACGACCUGAGGGUGAAAGCGGGGGAUCGCAAGACCUCGCGCGAUUGGAGCGGCCGAUAUCAGAUUAGGUAGUUGGUGAGGUAAAGGCUCACCAAGCCGACGAUCUGUAGCUGGUCUGAGAGGACGACCAGCCACACUGGGACUGAGACACGGCCCAGACUCCUACGGGAGGCAGCAGUGGGGAAUUUUGGACAAUGGGCGCAAGCCUGAUCCAGCCAUGCCGCGUGCGGGAAGAAGGCCUUCGGGUUGUAAACCGCUUUUGUCAGGGAAGAAAAGGUUCUGGCUAAUACCUGGGACUCAUGACGGUACCUGAAGAAUAAGCACCGGCUAACUAC